This 329-nucleotide long non-coding RNA is filed under the name Vitis vinifera (wine grape). RNAcentral describes it as "long non-coding RNA (VVIN_LNC005484)". The record is from RNAcentral. Lineage: Eukaryota; Viridiplantae; Streptophyta; Magnoliopsida; Vitales; Vitaceae.
UUUCUGAAUUGCAUUUACAGUGGAUAUGUUGGCUGAAAGAUCCAAUGUAUAACUCUCUUGCACGGUGAUGGGGCAAGGGCUGAAGAAUGCGAAGCUUGGCAUUGAGGGAACAGGAGAUGAGAAUUCCAAGGUGUUGGGCUCAUCAGUGCUGCCAAAAGAAAACCCACCAGAUGCAAAGCAAGGUGUUGAUGGUUCCAACCCAAAGGAAGUAAAGGAUGAUCUGCAUGUGAAUUGAGGUGACUGGGCAUCACAAAUAACACGUGGUCCAGUGCCAAAGCUGAUGUCCUGAUUCCUAGUCAUAAAAGUAGAGAAAGAGCUUCCGCCUUCAC